This 1042-nucleotide ribosomal RNA is filed under the name uncultured archaeon. RNAcentral describes it as "bacterial SSU rRNA". It matches the Rfam family "Archaeal small subunit ribosomal RNA", at positions 6 to 1055 of the family's 1478-position model. The record is from RNAcentral.
GGUUGAUCCCGCCGGAGGUCACUGCUAUCGGGGUUCGAUUAAGCCAUGCGAGUCGAGAGGGUUCAGACCCUCGGCGGACUGCUCAGUAACACGUGGAUAAUCUGCCCUAUGGUGGAGGAUAACCCCGGGAAACUGGGGAUAAUACUCCAUAAGUCAGGAGUACUGGAAUGUCUCCUAACUGAAAGUUGCGGCGCCAUAGGAUGAAUCUGCGGCCGAUUAGGUAGUUGUUGGGGUAACGGCCCAACAAGCCCGUAAUCGGUACGGGUUGUGGGAGCAAGAGCCCGGAGAUGGAAUCUGAGACACGAUUCCAGGCCCUACGGGGCGCAGCAGGCGCGAAAACUUUACAAUGCAGGAAACUGUGAUAAGGGAACCCCGAGUGCCCGUACACGCGGGCUGUCCCGGUGUUUAAAACACAUCGGAAGAAAGGGCCGGGCAAGACCGGUGCCAGCCGCCGCGGUAAUACCGGCGGCUCGAGUGGUGACCACUUUUAUUGGGCUUAAAGCGUUCGUAGCUUGAUUUUUAAGUCUCUUGGGAAAUCUCACGGCUUAACUGUGAGGCGUCUAAGAGAUACUGGGAAUCUAGGGACCGGGAGAGGUAAGAGGUACUUCAGGGGUAGAAGUGAAAUUCUGUAAUCCUUGAGGGACCACCGAUGGCGAAGGCAUCUUACCAGAACGGCUUCGACAGUGAGGAACGAAAGCUGGGGGAGCGAACGGGAUUAGAUACCCCGGUAGUCCCAGCCGUAAACUAUGCGCGUUAGGUGUGCCUGUAACUACGAGUUACCGGGGUGCCGAAGUGAAAACGUGAAACGUGCCGCCUGGGAAGUACGGUCGCAAGGCUGAAACUUAAAGGAAUUGGCGGGGGAGCACCACAACGGGUGGAGCCUGCGGUUUAAUUGGACUCAACGCCGGGCAGCUCACCGGAUAGGACAGCGGAAUGAUAGCCGGGCUGAAGACCUUGCUUGACCAGCUGAGAGGAGGUGCAUGGCCGUCGUCAGUUCGUACUGUGAAGCAUCCUGUUUAGUCAGGCAACGAGCGAGACCCCU